This 419-nucleotide unclassified non-coding RNA is filed under the name Hevea brasiliensis (rubber tree). Lineage: Eukaryota; Viridiplantae; Streptophyta; Magnoliopsida; Malpighiales; Euphorbiaceae. The record is from RNAcentral.
UUUAUAACCUUCCAAAGAUGCAGGAAAAGAUGGUAAUCCCAUCAUUGAAGGCGGGGGAGCUCUUGAAGAGAUGAGGGAAGGUGCACUAUCAGUGCUUAGGCCCAACAUUAUAAAUAAGAUCCCGGACAGCAGUGUGACUCUCCCGAGUUGAUCCUUCCACACUUGUGCAGGCUGAACCAAAAUAGAUAGUAUGGCUAAGUACGCAACCAAUGACAAACGCAUGACUACAUUUGAUUUUGCCGGUAAUAUAACCAGAGUAAAGAGCCAUGCCAAUUUGAUUCUUGGAUCGACAGAGUGCACCAAAGUGAAUGGAGAAGGUAUGUACUGUGCAAUGGGGCUAGAAGUUGCUCCAGAUAUAGCUCUAAAUAGUUUAUCAGCUCCAAGAAUUUUUUUUGGCGACCAUUUUUCAAGAAUUUCUG